UGAACGCUAGCUACAGGCUUAACACAUGCAAGUCGAGGGGCAGCAUGUCGGUUGCUUGCAACCGAUGAUGGCGACCGGCGCACGGGUGAGUAACGCGUAUCCAACCUACCCUUGUCCAUCGGAUAACCCGUCGAAAGGCGGCCUAACACGAUAUGCGGUUCUCAGCAGGCAUCUAACGAGAACGAAAUGUGAAGGAGAAGGAUGGGGGAUGCGUCUGAUUAGCUUGUUGGCGGGGUAACGGCCCACCAAGGCGACGAUCAGUAGGGGUUCUGAGAGGAAGGUCCCCCACAUUGGAACUGAGACACGGUCCAAACUCCUACGGGAGGCAGCAGUGAGGAAUAUUGGUCAAUGGACGGGAGUCUGAACCAGCCAAGUAGCGUGCAGGACGACGGCCCUAUGGGUUGUAAACUGCUUUUAUAGGGGGAUAAAGUGUGCCACGUGUGGCAUAUUGCAGGUACCCUAUGAAUAAGGACCGGCUAAUUCCGUG
Molecule: ribosomal RNA, 487 nt
Filed under: uncultured bacterium
Lineage: Bacteria
Description: bacterial SSU rRNA
Rfam family: Bacterial small subunit ribosomal RNA
Source: RNAcentral